UCCGAGCAAUCUACAUCUGGAAAUAAAACUAAGUACGCCGUUUCCUAUCAUCAUCAUCCUCUUCAUCAGAAUCACCACUCUCACGGAAACGUGGAUUCUUCUCCUGCAGCAAAAGAAUGUCACAUUGCAACAACAAAUAUCACUAAAACUGAAGAGGGGACAAACAAUAGAAGCAAAAGAUUUGAAGCUCAAUCUCCUAUUCGUUAAAUCACAAGCUAAAGUCAGGGAAUUUGCUUCUUUAAUAUCCACACUGACUUCGUUUCAUUGUCCAAUUUUACAUUAUUUCGUUUCAGUGGCGAGCAUAGAGUACAUAUGAAAAGAUGGAACAGGACAUGCUGGUGAAAAAAAGCAAAGCAAUAAAAGAUGUAGCUUAAGUAAAUAAAAGAAAAUACCGGUCUGGACUCAUGAUCAGAGGUUCUUCGAGAUUCACGGUCGUAACUCCUCUUUGGAUAAUCUGACCGAUGGUGGUCAUCUUCCCUGUGUCGCUUGCGAUGAUAGUCUGUUUUCCUCAUAAGAUAGAGUUGUUUGUUAAAUAUACUAUACUGAAACAAAAGAUAGAAAAAUACAAUGUUGUAAAGCAUUAGAACUGAAUCAAAAGC
RNAcentral lists this long non-coding RNA (599 nucleotides) under Nicotiana tabacum (common tobacco). RNAcentral describes it as "long non-coding RNA (NTAB_LNC004896)". Lineage: Eukaryota; Viridiplantae; Streptophyta; Magnoliopsida; Solanales; Solanaceae. The record is from RNAcentral.